Molecule: ribosomal RNA, 478 nt
Filed under: uncultured bacterium
Lineage: Bacteria
Description: partial 16S ribosomal RNA
Rfam family: Bacterial small subunit ribosomal RNA
Source: RNAcentral
GACGAACGCUGGCGGCGUGCUUAACACAUGCAAGUCGAACGGUAAGGCCCUUCGGGGUACACGAGUGGCGAACGGGUGAGUAACACGUGGGUGAUCUGCCCUGCACUUCGGGAUAAGCCUGGGAAACUGGGUCUAAUGCCGGAUAGGACCCUGGGAUGCAUGUCCUGGGGUGGAAAGCUUUUGCGGUGUGGGAUGGGCCCGCGGCCUAUCAGCUUGUUGGUGGGGUGGUGGCCUACCAAGGCGACGACGGGUAGCCGGCCUGAGAGGGUGACCGGCCACACUGGGACUGAGAUACGGCCCAGACUCCUACAGGAGGCAGCAGUGGGGAAUAUUGCACAAUGGGCGCAAGCCUGAUGCAGCGACGCCGCGUGAGGGAUGACGGCCUUCGGGUUGUAAACCUCUUUCAGCACCGACGAAGCGCAAGUGACGGUAGGUGCAGAAGAAGGACCGGCCAACUACGUGCCAGCAGCCGCGGUAA